AGCGGUGGAAACGAGCCGAGCUCGAGCGAGCUUAUCUCAGCUCAAGCUUGGCUUGAAAUUAAUUUCGAGCCUACAUUUAGGCUCAAGCUCGGCUUGAAAUUAAUUCGAGCCGAGCUCGAGCGAGCCUAAUUUCGAGUCGAGCGAGCUCGAGCCCUAAACGAGCUGCUUGAAAUUCUUAACAUCGUACAAUCUAUAGUUUAAUUUUUAUAAAAUAUUAUCUAAAAUUUGAUACAAAAAAUGUCUAAUAGCUCAGCAUACAAAAUGAAUGCAUGAAAUACGAUAUUAUAAUAUUAAAAAAAUUAGCAAAAACAACUCUAUGAACGAGUGAAAAAGAGAAA
Molecule: long non-coding RNA, 338 nt
Filed under: Ananas comosus (pineapple)
Lineage: Eukaryota; Viridiplantae; Streptophyta; Magnoliopsida; Poales; Bromeliaceae
Description: long non-coding RNA (ACOM_LNC010545)
Source: RNAcentral